GGCGUCGACGGGUAGCCGGCCUGAGAGGGCGACCGGCCACACUGGGACUGAGACACGGCCCAGACUCCUACGGGAGGCAGCAGUGGGGAAUAUUGCACAAUGGGCGAAAGCCUGAUGCAGCGACGCCACGUGAGGGAUGACGGCCUUCGGGUUGUAAACCUCUUUCAGCAGGGAAGAAGCGAAAGUGACGGUACCUGCAGAAGAAGCGCCGGCUAACUACGUGCCAGCAGCCGCGGUAAUACGUAGGGCGCAAGCGUUGUCCGGAAUUAUUGGGCGUAAAGAGCUCGUAGGCGGUCUGUCGCGUCUGGUGUGAAAUCCCAUGGCUCAACUGUGGGCUUGCAUCGGGUACGGGCAGACUAGAGUGCUGUAGGGGAGACUGGAAUUCCUGGUGUAGCGGUGGAAUGCGCAGAUAUCAGGAGGAACACCGAUGGCGAAGGCAGGUCUCUGGGCAGUUACUGACGCUGAGGAGCGAAAGCAUGGGGAGCGAACAGGAUUAGAUACCCUGGUAGUCCAUGCCGUAAACGUUGGGCACUAGGUGUGGGGCGGGUUCCACUCGUUCUGUGCCGCAGCUAACGCAUUAAGUGCCCCGCCUGGGGAGUACGGCCGCAAGGCUAAAACUCAAAGGAAUUGACGGGGGCCCGCACAAGCGGCGGAGCAUGCGGAUUAAUUCGAUGCAAACGCGAAGAACCUUACCAAGGCUUGACAUGUACGAGAACGCGUUAGAGAUAACGAACUCUUUGGACACUCGUACACAGGUGGUGCAUGGGUUGUCGUCAACUCGUGUCGUGAGAAUGUUGGGUUAAGUCCCGCAACGAGCGCAACCCUUAUCCUAUGUUGCCAGCGGGUCAUGCCGGGGACUCAUGGGAGACUGCCGGGGUCAACUCGGAGGAAGGUGGGGAUGACGUCAAAUCAUCAUGCCCCUUAUGUCUUGGGCUUCACGCAUGCUACAAUGGCCGGUACAGAGGGCUGCGAUACCGUGAGGUGGAGCGAAUCCCAAAAAGCCGGUCUCAGUUCGGAUCGGGGUCUGCAACUCGACCCCGUGAAGUCGGAGUCGCUAGUAAUCGCAGAUCAGCAACGCUGCGGUGAAUACGUUCCCGGGCCUUGUACACACCGCCCGUCAAGUCACGAAAGUUGGUAACACC
RNAcentral lists this ribosomal RNA (1142 nucleotides) under Promicromonospora kermanensis. RNAcentral describes it as "bacterial SSU rRNA". It matches the Rfam family "Bacterial small subunit ribosomal RNA", at positions 272 to 1421 of the family's 1533-position model. Lineage: Bacteria; Bacillati; Actinomycetota; Actinomycetes; Micrococcales; Promicromonosporaceae. The record is from RNAcentral.